GUAUCAUCUGUAUUCCAUCUGCAGUUACAAUCGUGCGACGCGUACUCGAGGAAACUUAGUCGAUAACCUAGCAUGCCGUUCAAAAAUAAAUAUGGUGUCUAAUUGUAAGCAGCGUAUCGUUCGAAGUCGAGUUUUUCUUGUCCAGCAAAACUCUGUCAAGGAGAUAUAGAACUUGACGGCGAUUCGAACGCGGGAAUACUGGCGGUAGCGCGUUGCAAACGACGAGAACGGAAACGUGACGGACGGUUGGAGAGGCAGAUUGUUAGCUGGUGCACGAGUUUGUUUGCGUAGUUGAGGACCGUAUGUGCUGGUGCUGGCGCAUGCAGGGCGGAGAACGGGCUACGCCGGGGGUGUUCUGCAUGGGCGCCAAAGGGACUCCACAUCGGACUGGCACCGGGGGAAGACGGCGAAGAAGAAAGAGGGAGAAAAAGAGAAAUCAGAAAGAAGGAACGCGUCGCCAGCAGCGGCGCCGAGACCAAACUGCCUUCGCAAAACAUAGCCCCGAUAGUUGCAGAGGGCCGAUUUCUUCGUGAUGAUGGGAGACGAUCGACCAACGGCAAUCGGGACGAAUCUUUCGCCGACCCUCGAAUCACGUCGGCUCGGCAACGUCCCAUUAUUAGGCUGGCUCUCAGUUACGAAACAAUCCGCGCGUUCGAUUUCUGUUACGCGCCGCAAGAUCGUGAUCUAAUUACACCAAAAGAUUGCAACGUCAGUUAUUGAAUUGAUGCCUGGUUUGUUAUGACGAUGGGUCCCGGAAC
This is a long non-coding RNA of Formica exsecta, 758 nucleotides long. RefSeq lists it as uncharacterized. Lineage: Eukaryota; Metazoa; Arthropoda; Insecta; Hymenoptera; Formicidae. The record is from RefSeq and is a predicted model, not a curated record. The transcript is spliced from 3 exons.